RNAcentral lists this transfer RNA (63 nucleotides) under Dermestidae sp. GENSP01. RNAcentral's name for it is "tRNA-Leu". Lineage: Eukaryota; Metazoa; Arthropoda; Insecta; Coleoptera; Dermestidae. The record is from RNAcentral.
GUUGUUUUGGCAGAUUAGUGUAAUUGAUUUAGAAUCUUUAAAUGUAAAUAUUUACAGGCAACA